GGGAAGGUAAAUCACAUUUUUUUGUGACAGUUAAUGCAUUUGACUACUUUUACUGUAAAUAUAACCCCAUGGUUUUAUUAAAAAAUAAAUUGAAAACCCCAUUUCAUGGUGUCAGACCAUUAAAAAAUCUUUGUUCUGAUUGGACAGGGUAAAAAAUAUGAUUAAAAAUGCAAUUUUAUUAGAUGUAAAAACCCAAAUGAAUAAGUAGACAUUUAUAAUAUCCAUGUAUACUGUAUUGGGUUGUAGGUUACCAUUAUUUACCCUCUAUGAAUGGAACCAGAUUUGCUUUGCUGUCGCAAUAACAUACUCAAUGUAAAAAAAAUCACAAUUGUAACAAGUACUUAAAAUUGCUGUUCCACUGGUUGUAAGAAGACAAAAAUCAAUUAAUCCUUCAUUUUUUCCCCAACAUAACAAAAUGUAGUUCAGUAACAAAUUGUUUUUAUGUAUUUAUUUAUGUGAAUAUAGGAUAUUUGUCAUCAGAUUUUAUUGUUAGUAAUAAGGUGAUAAAUUACAAUGGUAUUUAUAUAAUUUGUGAGGCUCAAUUAUUGUUUGCUCAAUUGGGCAAUAUCUGUUUGCCCAAAAAAUGUACUAAUUUGCGCCACAACCUAUUUGCACCAAUGCUUCUUCUGCACCACUUAGUUUUAAAAUCUAUAUGUAUCAUUUGUG
RNAcentral lists this long non-coding RNA (666 nucleotides) under Mytilus galloprovincialis (Mediterranean mussel). Lineage: Eukaryota; Metazoa; Mollusca; Bivalvia; Mytilida; Mytilidae. The record is from RNAcentral.